CAGGCUAACCGUUCCCUGGCUGUUGGAGCCGGGAGAUCGCCUGGCUGCCUUCAUCUGCUGCUCUCACCACUGGGGCCUUGAUGUCAUGGGCAGAAGCUGACAAUGACCCUUGGGCUUUUCCAGUGGAUAGUGACAGCAUUUCCUGCCACCUGGAGGGAAGACAGAAUAAUUGGCAGCAAGAGGCCAGACCAGAACCUGGAGAUGACGUGGCGAUGUUGGUAAUCCAAGGAGGAGACAGCCUGAGCAUUUGCCUGAAGAUGCAGACCUGCCCACCCUCCCUUAGCCAGGGUGUUGCCCCCCACCCAGGUCCUCAGAUGCUCUCUCAGACACCCCCUUGGUACUAGGUUUGUUCUCCAGGCCACUGCAGAUGGGUGCCCCUGACUCUAGCCCAGAGAUUAGCCUCACUGGCUCCUGCCUCCUGUGUCCACCCCCAUGGCAGGCCCCUACAGGAGCAAAACAUAGUCACCUUAGACUCUGGCAUACUGAGGCCAAGCCCUGAUCCUGUUGGCCUCACUCCCUGCCAA
Molecule: long non-coding RNA, 524 nt
Organism: Vicugna pacos (alpaca)
Lineage: Eukaryota; Metazoa; Chordata; Mammalia; Artiodactyla; Camelidae
Source: RefSeq, a predicted model, not a curated record